AGUACUAUCCUCCUCCACCAGGAGCAGCUUAUCCGCCGCAAGGUUACCCUCCGCAGGGAUAUGGAUAUUCUCCAGUUGCCGGGUACCCGCCAUCUGGUUACAGUACCGGCCUGUAUGCUCCACCUCAUCAUUCAGGUUUGAAUCUGCAGAUAUAUUUUGAUUUGAAUGUUAAUUUGCGUUAUUGUUUAUUAAUUUCUGAAGCUGUUGACUUAUUUAUACAUUCGUGGUACGUUUUUAUAUUAGGAUAUGGUGGCGUAGGGGGACUGUUAGCCGGGGCUGCUGCUGCUUAUGGUACUCACCACAUGUCGCACCAUGGGUACGGCGGGCACCAUCACGGCAAGUUCAAGCAUGGAAAGCACUACGGUGGCUUCAGGCAUGGAAAGCAUGGAGGAAAGAAGUGGAAGUAAACUUCUAAAUUUGUACCAAUUCAACCUAUCGCUACAAACGCUUCCCUAUUAA
This 459-nucleotide long non-coding RNA is filed under the name Citrus maxima (pomelo). RNAcentral describes it as "long non-coding RNA (CMAX_LNC000566)". The record is from RNAcentral. Lineage: Eukaryota; Viridiplantae; Streptophyta; Magnoliopsida; Sapindales; Rutaceae.